GACGUGAGGUGCGAGCAUUAUCCGGAUUCACUGGGCGUAAAAGGUUGCGUAGGCUGUCCGAUAGAUUUUGUUUGAAAUCCCGUAGCUCAACUACGGGUUUGGACAAAAUAUCAUCGGACUUGAUGACUAAAGGGGGUACUGGAACUCUACAUGUAGCAGUGAAAUGCGUUGAUAUGUAGAGGAACACCAAAGGCGUAGGCAGGUACCUGGGUAGUUCAUGACGCUGAGGCACGAAAGCAUGGGGAGCGAA
Molecule: ribosomal RNA, 250 nt
Filed under: uncultured bacterium
Lineage: Bacteria
Description: partial 16S ribosomal RNA
Rfam family: Bacterial small subunit ribosomal RNA
Source: RNAcentral